RNAcentral lists this ribosomal RNA (253 nucleotides) under uncultured bacterium. RNAcentral's name for it is "partial 16S ribosomal RNA". It matches the Rfam family "Bacterial small subunit ribosomal RNA", at positions 524 to 776 of the family's 1533-position model. The record is from RNAcentral.
UACGUAGGUGGCAAGCGUUGUCCGGAUUUAUUGGGUUUAAAGGGUGCGUAGGUGGCCCUGUAAGUCAGUGGUGAAAUAUCUCAGCUUAACUGAGAGGGUGCCAUUGAUACUGCAGGGCUUGAGUACAGAUGAGGUAGGCGGAAUUGACGGUGUAGCGGUGAAAUGCGUAGAUAUCGGGAGGAACACCGGUGGGGUAGAGGGCUUCCUGGACCGCCACUGACGCUGAGGCACGAAAGCGUGGGUAGCAAACAGG